This is a long non-coding RNA of Raphanus sativus (radish), 804 nucleotides long. RefSeq lists it as uncharacterized. The record is from RefSeq and is a predicted model, not a curated record. The transcript has 2 exons. Lineage: Eukaryota; Viridiplantae; Streptophyta; Magnoliopsida; Brassicales; Brassicaceae.
UUAUUUAGCAAUGCUUUUAAACUAUCCAUUAACCAAACCAAUUAUACAUUCUUUAUUUUAUAUUUUCGGCCCUAUAGUUAUUCAGCCCAAAAUGCUCAGCUACCGUCUCUUCCCUGCCCUCUCCUUGAUCGCCGGUUACUACCGUCCACAACUGUUCACACCUAAACUUACAGCAACCAUUAAUUGCUUCCCCAAAGCAUUGAAUCCUUAACAUAAAUCCCAUCGCCGUUCUUCUUCCCCUCCCUCUUAUAUAUAUAUAUAUAAUAACCUUAUGAAUCCAUUCAAGCCCUACUUCUCCGCUUUUCAACCCAAACGGAUCAUAACAAUGGCUUCCAAUCAAUCGGGAGGCAAAUUUUCCCUCUCCCUAACGUGUGGCUUCUCCUCUAGCUCUAUACAAAUUUUAGUAACAGCAAGAUAAGUUAAUAGACGGCGGGAGUGGUAGAGAGGGUUAACGCUGCGGAGUCAAGAGACGUGUACCAAAAUUAUAGCAGGUUGUGCACAUGACGAGAAGAGCAAAGAUGAAAAUUUGUUGUCUGGGAUUCGGACGUUUUUGGCGUCUGUGUCGGUCAGAGUGUUUAGAGUGUUUAUCUAACAAAGAUGAAAAUUUGUAUUUCAUCUACUUGCCCCCAGAAACUUAUCGGCCAAGUAAAAAUCGUAUGCUAUUAUCGAAGGUAAGCAAUUGGUCAGGGAUGUCUUACUCAGAUUAUGUUUAAAAAGUUUUGUGCUUCUAUAUUCUGUUCAAAAUUCAGGUUAACUAAUGUUCUGUCUUACGAAAUUUUUUAUCAAGAAAACAACCCAUGGUCA